ACGGGUGAGUAAUACAUCGGAACGUAUCCUGGAGUGGGGGAUAGCCCGGCGAAAGCCGGAUUAAUACCGCAUACGCUCUGAGGAGGAAAGCGGGGGACCUUCGGGCCUCGCGCUCAAGGGGCGGCCGAUGGCGGAUUAGGUAGUUGGUGGGGUAAAGGCCUACCAAGCCGACGAUCCGUAGCUGGUCUGAGAGGACGACCAGCCACACUGGGACUGAGACACGGCCCAGACUCCUACGGGAGGCAGCAGUGGGGAAUUUUGGACAAUGGGGGCAACCCUGAUCCAGCAAUGCCGCGUGUGUGAAGAAGGCCUUCGGGUUGUAAAGCACUUUUGUCCGGAAAGAAAUCAUCGGGGCCAAUACCCCUGGUGGAUGACGGUACCGGAAGAAUAAGCACCGGCUAACUACGUGCCAGCAGCCGCGGUAAUACGUAGGGUGCGAGCGUUAAUCGGAAUUACUGGGCGUAAAGCGUGCGCAGGCGGUGCUGUAAGACCGAUGUGAAAUCCCCGGGCUUAACCUGGGAACUGCAUUGAUGACUGCAGCGCUGGAGUAUGGCAGAGGGGGGUGGAAUUCCACGU
RNAcentral lists this ribosomal RNA (576 nucleotides) under uncultured bacterium. RNAcentral describes it as "bacterial SSU rRNA". It matches the Rfam family "Bacterial small subunit ribosomal RNA", at positions 102 to 674 of the family's 1533-position model. The record is from RNAcentral.